Molecule: ribosomal RNA, 253 nt
Filed under: uncultured bacterium
Lineage: Bacteria
Description: partial 16S ribosomal RNA
Rfam family: Bacterial small subunit ribosomal RNA
Source: RNAcentral
UACGUAGGGUGCAAGCGUUGUCCGGAAUUAUUGGGCGUAAAGAGCUCGUAGGCGGUUUGUUGCGUCGGCUGUGAAAUCCCGAGGCUCAACCUCGGGUCUGCAGUCGAUACGGGCAAACUGGAGUGUUGCAGGGGAGACUGGAAUUCCUGGUGUAGCGGUGAAAUGCGCAGAUAUCAGGAGGAACACCGGUGGCGAAGGCGGGUCUCUGGGCAACAACUGACGCUGAGGAGCGAAAGCGUGGGGAGCGAACAGG